UGCGUCCUACGGGGCGCAGCAGUAGGGAAUUUUCGUCAAUGGGCGCAAGCCUGAACGAGCAAUGCCGCGUGAACGAGGAAGGUCUUCGGAUCGUAAAGUUCUGUUGAAGGGGAAAAAGAGCGGAGAGAGGAAAUGAACUCCGAUUGAUAUUACCCUUCGAGGAAGUCACGGCUAACUACGUGCCAGCAGCCGCGGUAAUACGUAGGUGGCGAGCGUUAUCCGGAAUGAUUGGGCGUAAAGGGUGCGUGGGCGGCCUGCUAAGUCUGGAGUGAAAGGUACAGGCUCAACCGGUACAGGCGCUGGAA
RNAcentral lists this ribosomal RNA (305 nucleotides) under uncultured bacterium. Its description in RNAcentral is "bacterial SSU rRNA". It matches the Rfam family "Bacterial small subunit ribosomal RNA", at positions 333 to 631 of the family's 1533-position model. The record is from RNAcentral.